AUACGGAGGGUGCAAGCGUUAUUCGGAAUCACUGGGCGUAAAGGGUGCGUAGGCGGCCUGGUAAGUCAGAGGUGAAAUACACGAGCUUAACUGGUGAAUUGCCUUUGAAACUAUCAAGCUAGAAUUAUGUUGAGGUCAGCGGAAUGAGUCAUGUAGCGGUGAAAUGCAUAGAUAUGACUUAGAACACCAAUUGCGUAGGCAGCUGGCUGGGCAUUGAUUGACGCUGAGGCACGAAAGCGUGGGGAGCGAACAGGAUUAGAAACCCCAGUAGUCC
Molecule: ribosomal RNA, 274 nt
Filed under: uncultured bacterium
Lineage: Bacteria
Description: partial 16S ribosomal RNA
Rfam family: Bacterial small subunit ribosomal RNA
Source: RNAcentral